CAGGUGGGAGUGAGCAAAUGUGCUGUCUCGCCACCUCGGGACAGGUGGUAGGGCCUCUGACACAGAGUGGUCCUUCCUGCUGUUCACAGCUCAGCUCACCGUGGGCUGACCAUAGGUUCUCGUUGAAAUCCUAACGCCCCAGGCAAUGAUGUUAGGAGGCGGGGCUUCUGGGAGAUGGCAAGUUCGUGAGGCUGCAGCUCUGCUGGGGGAUCAGUGUCCUUCUACAAGCGGCUCCAGGGAGGUCCCUUGCCCCUUCCACCAUGUGAGGACCCGAGAUGGUGCCGUCUAUGAACCGGGAAGUGAGUCCUCUCCGGACGUGGAACAAGUUGGUGCCUUGAUUUUGAACUUGCAGCCUCCAGGCCUUGGUGAUACAGGACAGAGGUGCCCGUGCAGGUUGUGCCUGUGGCUGGGUCCCCAGGGAGAAGGUGGCAACCCCAGGCCAGCAGCCUCCUACCCUGAACUCCAGGCAACAUCGUCGGCCCCCUGGCACUGCACCUGCACUGUGGGCAGAGAAGGAGGGAAGGCUGGGAGAGGAGGAGGAGGUCGAAUGUCGCUGGAGGUCGGCGUCCUUCUGCAGCCGUGGGUUCAUGGGGUUUAAGUACGAUGAUGCUGCAUUGAGACGUUGUACUGUGUGAAGUCAGGGCCUUCUGUGCAUCGGUCGAGGGUGCAAUGCACACGGCACCCCCGAGCAGCCACCCAUCCUCCCUUCCCUCCACCCUGCGAUGAGCCGCUGCUUGGGGUGAGCAUGCUUCCUGCUGGAUGCUUCUCUAUGUAAGCACCUGCCUGAGUGUCAGCCCUCUUAAGGUGAACCGCUCCGUGUCAUUCGUACAUUCACAAGUUUGUGCCGCCAUCAUCGUGAUCGGAUUCCAAAACAUUUUCAUCACCUCCAAGAAAGCCUUGUACCUGGCAGCAGUCACUGUCUCUAUGGAUUUGCUUAUUCUGGACAUUUCAUAAAAAUAGAAUCAAACAGCAUUUGGGAGCACCUGUUGAAGAAUCAUGACCACGGCCACUAGCACGUUUGAAGUCACACACAGGGUAGCGCCGGCCUGGACAGAGGCGGACAUCUGACAAGCGGGCCAAUGAGGAUGACAUCUCGGACGGUAGUCACUGCUACAACGAAAGUCAGUG
This 1128-nucleotide long non-coding RNA is filed under the name Homo sapiens (human). RNAcentral's name for it is "HSALNT0270274". The record is from RNAcentral. Lineage: Eukaryota; Metazoa; Chordata; Mammalia; Primates; Hominidae.